UGUGGGAGCGAGCCUGCUCGCGAUAGCGUUGGGUCAGCAACAUUGAUGCGACUGACAGAUCGCAAUCGCGAGCAGGCUCGCUCCCACA
RNAcentral lists this unclassified non-coding RNA (88 nucleotides) under Pseudomonas sp. A214. The record is from RNAcentral. Lineage: Bacteria; Pseudomonadati; Pseudomonadota; Gammaproteobacteria; Pseudomonadales; Pseudomonadaceae.